RNAcentral lists this long non-coding RNA (433 nucleotides) under Elaeis guineensis (African oil palm). RNAcentral describes it as "long non-coding RNA (EGUI_LNC064353)". The record is from RNAcentral. Lineage: Eukaryota; Viridiplantae; Streptophyta; Magnoliopsida; Arecales; Arecaceae.
GAGAAGAUGAUUCAUUACUUACCUUUCACGGAGCACUGAACGAAUAGAUCGACUAACUUCUAGGAGAUUCUUCCGUGCCUAUUAUUCAAAAUUAUAUUUUUACAUUAAUUUUAAUUCAAAAUUUAAUCUAAAUAAAUCCCAAAUCAAGACCUCACUUAAAAUCAGACUCUUCCCUGAACUCGAUCAAAAUCAUCAAAUGAAGCCUUCCACUAUGCUAAUCUUAGAAGGAUAACUUUAGAGAGAGAGAAAUCCAUCAAGAGAGAGAAACAGGCUAGAUAAAGAAAAUUCUAGAGAGAGAAAGUAGAGAGAGAAAGUCCAAUUUCAGAGAGAGAAAAUCAGGGUUCAGUCUGAAAGAAGAGAGAGAAGAGAGAGAAACUCUCUCUCUCAUCAAUUUCAAUUUUUAUUUAUUUAUUUAUUUAUUUACUUAUUUAUU